CAAAGGCGAUAGAUCAGUUAAAGACAAAAAGGACAUCGGGGAGGAGUCGGGCCGGCUAGAGGCUCUUGCAAGAGAAGGAUCUUCUGGUCAAGGCAGAGAGGCUUUGGCUCGAGCUCGAGGGAGGAGACGUCGCAACGAGCUUGGGCAAAAACAGGGUUGAGAGCUUGAAGGGCAAGAGCAUCCUGGAAGGCGAACUGAUUGCAGAUCCGGAGCUCUUGGCGAGCUUCACAAAGAAGUUGGAGGAAGAGAUGGUUCCGCGGGUGGUCUGGAUUGCGAGACCGGAGGUCAGGCGCUUGAGAGUGCAAUUGCGCCGUUGCACGACCGAAGAUCAAAUCCCAAAAACCAUCGAGAGAGAGAUUCUGAAGCAGGUGAUCGUGCUAAGGAAAAGAAGCCCACAUGAGAAGCUAAGAAGAAGAAGCAGAAGCAGAAGCAAAGACGAGGUUGAUGGUUAAGAAGAAG
Syzygium oleosum is the source of this 459-nucleotide long non-coding RNA. RefSeq lists it as uncharacterized. Lineage: Eukaryota; Viridiplantae; Streptophyta; Magnoliopsida; Myrtales; Myrtaceae. The record is from RefSeq and is a predicted model, not a curated record. The transcript is spliced from 2 exons.